Molecule: ribosomal RNA, 253 nt
Filed under: uncultured bacterium
Lineage: Bacteria
Also listed under: 1 other name
Description: partial 16S ribosomal RNA
Rfam family: Bacterial small subunit ribosomal RNA
Source: RNAcentral
UACGUAGGGUGCGAGCGUUAAUCGGAAUUACUGGGCGUAAAGUGUGCGCAGGCGGCUUGGCAAGUCGAGUGUGAAAUCCCCGGGCUUAACUUGGGAAUUGCGCUCGAAACUACCUGGCUAGAGUGUGGCAGAGGAAGGUGGAAUUCCACGUGUAGCGGUGAAAUGCGUAGAGAUGUGGAGGAACACCGAUGGCGAAGGCAGCCUUCUGGGCCAACACUGACGCUCAUGCACGAAAGCGUGGGGAGCAAACAGG